AAUAUGUUGUUAUCGACAUGCAAUAUCCAAGUUUAAAUAUAGGAAUGUUGCAAAAUUAAUGUUGCAUGAUGUAUUAUGUUUUUUUCUAUGGUUGGUCGGAAUUUAUAUAAAUAUUUAUACUUAUUUACUUUAUUACAAUGGUUUAAUUUGUAUUUUAAUUUAUGUUAGACAAAUUCGCAUUUAGGAAUGAAUGAUGACG
Molecule: long non-coding RNA, 199 nt
Filed under: Carica papaya (papaya)
Lineage: Eukaryota; Viridiplantae; Streptophyta; Magnoliopsida; Brassicales; Caricaceae
Description: long non-coding RNA (CPAP_LNC011305)
Source: RNAcentral